Molecule: ribosomal RNA, 446 nt
Filed under: uncultured prokaryote
Description: bacterial SSU rRNA
Rfam family: Bacterial small subunit ribosomal RNA
Source: RNAcentral
UCGAGAAUCUUUGUCAAUGGGCGAAAGCCUGAACAAGCGAUGCCGCGUGCGGGAUGAAGGCCUUCGGGUUGUAAACCGCUGUCAGAGGUUAGGAAAUGCUGGGAGGUUAUCCUUUCAGUUUGACCGAUCCUCAGAGGAAGGACGGGCUAAGUUCGUGCCAGCAGCCGCGGUAAGACGAACCGUCCAAACGUUAUUCGGUAUCACUGGGCUUAAAGCGUGCGUAGGCGGCGCGGUAGGUCAGAUGUGAAAUCCCACGGCCCAACCGUGGAAUUGCGUUUGAAACCACCGUGCUCGAGGAAGAUAGGGGUGAUCGGAACUUAUGGUGGAGCGGUGAAAUGCGUUGAUAUCAUAGGGAACACCGGUGGCGAAAGCGGAUCACUGGAUCUUUUCUGACGCUGAGGCACGAAAGCUAGGGUAGCGAACGGGAUUAGAUACCCCCGUAGUCC